UUUGAUCCUGGCUCAGAUUGAACGCUGGCGGGAUGCUUUACACAUGCAAGUCGGAGCAGCGGCACGGACUUCGGUCUGGUGGCGAGUGGCGAACGGGUGAGUAAUGUAUCGGAACGUGCCUAGUAGCAGGGGAUAACUACAUGGCCCGUAAUAAUACCACAUACGCCCUUCGGGGAAAGCGGGGGACCUUCGGGCCUCGCACUAUUGAAGCGGCCGAUAUCGGAUUAGCUAGUUAGUGGGGUAACGGCUCACCAAGGCGACGAUCCGUAGCUGGUUUGAGAGGACGACCAACCACACUGGGACUGAGACACAGCCCAGACUCCUGCAGGAGGCAGCAGUGGGGAAUUUUUGGACAAUGGAAACCCUGACUGACCUCCCGCGUGUGCGAUGAAGGCCUUCCGGGUUGUAAAGCACUUUUGGCAGGAAAGAAACGGCACGGGAUAUUACCCCGUGCAACUGACCAAUACCUGCAGAGCCAGCACCGGCUAACUACGUGCCGGCAGCCGCGGUAAUACGUAGGGUGCAAGCGUUAAUCGGAAUUACUGGGCGUAAAGCGUGCGCAGGCGGUUCGGAAAGAAAGAUGUAGAAAUCAGAGCUUAACUUUGGAACUGCAUUUUUAACUACCGAGCUAGAGUGUGUCAGAGAGUGGAAUUCCGCAUGUAGCAGUGAAAUGCGUAGAUAUGCGGAGAACACCGAUGGCGAAGGCAACCUCCUGGGAUAACACUGACGCUCAUGCACGAAAAGCGUGGGGAGCAAACGGGAUUAGAUACCCUGGUAGUCCACGCCCUAAACGAUGUCAACUAGCUGUUGGGGCCUUCGGGCCUUGGUAGUGCAGCUAACGCGUGAAGUUGACCGCCUGGGGAGUACGGUCGCAAGAUUAAAACUCAAAGGAAUUGACGGGGACCCGCACAAGCGGUGGAUGAUGUGGAUUAAUUCGAUGCAACGCGAAAACCUUACCUACCCUUGACAUGUCUGGAAUCCCGAAGAGAUUUAGGAGUGCUCGCAAGAGAACCGGAACACAGGUGCUGCAUGGCUGUCGUCGCUCGUGUCGUGAGAUGUUGGGUUAAGUCCCGCAACGAAGCACAACCCUUGUCAUUAAUUUGCCCCGAAAGGCACUCUAAUGAGACUGCCGGUGACAAACCGGAGGAAGGUGGGGACGGCGUCAAGUCCUCAUGGCCCUUAUGGGUAGGGCUUCACACGUCAUACAAUGGUCGGGACAGAGGGUCGCCAACCCGCGAGGGGGAGCCAAUCCCAGAAACCCGAUCGUAGUCCGGAUGUCAUGAUCUGCAACUCGACUGCGUGAAGUCGGAAUCGCUAGUAAUCGCGGAUCAGCAUGUCGCGGUGAAUACGUUCCCGGGUCUUGUACACACCGCCCGUCACACCAUGGGAGUGGGUUUUACCAGAAGUAGUUAGCCUAACCGUAAGGAGGGCGAUUACCACGGUAGGAUUCAUGACUGGGGUGAAGUCGUAACAAAGAUAG
Molecule: ribosomal RNA, 1480 nt
Filed under: uncultured Bordetella sp.
Lineage: Bacteria; Pseudomonadati; Pseudomonadota; Betaproteobacteria; Burkholderiales; Alcaligenaceae
Description: partial 16S-23S ribosomal RNA intergenic spacer
Rfam family: Bacterial small subunit ribosomal RNA
Source: RNAcentral